This 433-nucleotide ribosomal RNA is filed under the name uncultured bacterium. RNAcentral describes it as "partial 16S ribosomal RNA". It matches the Rfam family "Bacterial small subunit ribosomal RNA", at positions 29 to 507 of the family's 1533-position model. The record is from RNAcentral.
AGCGAACGCUGGCGGCAGGCCUAACACAUGCAAGUCGAACGGAUCCUUCGGGAUUAGUGGCGGACGGGUGAGUAACACGUGGGAACGUGCCCUUUGGUUCGGAACAACUCAGGGAAACUUGAGCUAAUACCGGAUGUGCCCUUCGGGGGAAAGAUUUAUCGCCAUUGGAGCGGCCCGCGUCCGAUUAGCUAGUUGGUGAGGUAACGGCCCACCAAGGCGACGAUCAGUAGCUGGUCUGAGAGGAUGGUCAGCCACACUGGGACUGAGACACGGCCCAGAAUCCUACGGGAGGCAGCAGUGGGGAAUCUUGCGCAAUGGGCGAAAGGCUGACGCAGCCAUGCCGCGUGAAUGAUGAAGGUCUUAGGAUUGUAAAAUUCUUUCAGCGGGGACGAUAAUGACGGUACCCGCAGAAGAAGCUCCGGCUAACUUCGUG